GGAAUUUUCCGCAAUGGGCGAAAGCCUGACGGAGCAAUACCGCGUGAGGGAAGACUGCCUAUGGGUUGUAAACCUCUUUUUUCAGGGAGGAACAAAAUGACGUGUACCUGAAGAAUAAGCAUCGGCUAACUCCGUGCCAGCAGCCGCGGUAAGACGGAGGAUGCAAGUGUUAUCCGGAACCACUGGGCGUAAAGCGUCUGUAGGUGGUUUAAUAAGUCAACUGUUAAAUCUUGAGGCUCAACUUCAAAAUCGCAGUCGAAACUAUUAGACUAGAGUAUAGUAGAGGUAAAGGGAAUUUCCAGUGGAGCGGUGAAAUGCGUAGAUAUUGGAAAGAACACCGAUGGCGAAAGCACUUUACUGGGCUAUUACUAACACUCAGAGACGAAAGCUAGGGUAGCAAAUGGGAUUAGAUACCCCAGUAGUC
This 424-nucleotide ribosomal RNA is filed under the name uncultured eukaryotic phytoplankton. RNAcentral describes it as "bacterial SSU rRNA". It matches the Rfam family "Bacterial small subunit ribosomal RNA", at positions 358 to 795 of the family's 1533-position model. The record is from RNAcentral.